RNAcentral lists this long non-coding RNA (11768 nucleotides) under Malus domestica (apple). Lineage: Eukaryota; Viridiplantae; Streptophyta; Magnoliopsida; Rosales; Rosaceae. The record is from RNAcentral.
CACCAACAAAAGACAAUUCUCUUAGCUCUAGAGAGGAGAGAAAAUGAUCUCCACUCCCAGUAAUAUUUCUCUCUUAGUUUUAGCCUCUAAGGUAUCACCUUGCCCUAGGAUUAGGGGGCUACUAAGAACUACGACGGUUUGAUCUCUGUGCAUUGGCACAAGGUACAUAGGCAAUCUAAUGGAGCUAGAUGCAACCGAAUCCUCCCUUGGAUGACGCUCUACUUCGUGGUUCAUGCAAUGAUUCGUAGGAACGAGACGGUUAUCUAGAAUUCGUUAAUUCUGCAAGGUAUGUCCUAUAUCGAAUUCCUUAUAUUAUUACUAUAAAUUCCCAACAGAUUGUUUUGGGUUCACUUGGAUCCACAUGAAAUUAUUUUUAUUAUUUUUAUUUCUCUCUCUGGAUGAUCUCUACCUCAUCGACUCCUCUCCUCAACUCUUCCACUCUCGGUCACACACACGAUCAACACCUCUCAAUAUUCUCGAGGAAUCGAACCACAUAACCACUAUUAUCUUCUUCUCCUCAUCACCACGAACCCAAUCUUGGGUUUUGAUUAGUGAAAGAUGAAGCACAAAUGUCGAAUCGUGGAGCUCCGAUGCAGAGUGGGGUUUUCGGUGAUUUUCUUGCCAAUUCCGGCCAAGGUAAGGCCUCUAACCCAAUUAAACUAAAUUAAACAGAACAAUUCCUCACAAUUAAACUGAAGCAUAAAACCUCAAUUUAAACCCCUAAUGGGUGAUUAGGACAAUCAAUAUUCAGUUAUAUUUUGGGUUCAUAACAAUGUUCCCCCAUUGAAAAUUAGCCUUGUCCUCAAGGCUUAAAAAACGAAAUGUGGGAACUUGUUUGAACGAGCAGCACUUGGGCAUGUCUUCAAUGAAUGAUAGCACCAAUUGGCAGCUAGGGUAUCAUACCUUCAGGCCUACCAUGGUGGAAGGCCACAAAGAAAUGUUCAAAACACCCUUAUGCUUGUAACAUUAGUUUGGCUUAGGGUUUUGGGUCUCAUCACUUAUUCACAUGCAUUUUAAUUUCUAAUCUCAUUAGAACUAUUUGGUCCUAUUACAACUAUUAGUCCAUGUAAUUAAUUUAGUAGCAUAUGAUACUCCUACUAUUUUUGUAAAACGGUUUUUAGAAGUAAGAGUAUAUGGUACUACUAAUGAAAGCUUUGGAUUCUUGAUGGACUUUAUAGUUUCCUUAGGGCCUUAGGAUGAUUUUGAAACUUCGAUUUGAUCCAACAUGAACCUAGUGUUUGGUAUCGGUGUUGGGAGGGUGAUUGAAUUUAAUUGCACCUUUAAUCAAAUUAAGUGUGUUUCCCUAAUGGGGGUGGGACCUAACUACUCCAAUUUCCAUGCAUAUCAAACAAGACAUAAAGGAGUACAUAAAGUAAAGAAGGACUUGUACCAUUUUACAACAUAUUUGAUCUAAUCAAAUUACAACCAAAAUCAAAUCUACACAUUCCCAUGGUUCAAACAAACUUGAUAGACGGUCAAUAACAUAACUCAAUCAUCGUAGGCUUAGAUUCAUAAUCCCCAUUUCUAUAAUUAACCAAUCACAUUAAUCAAUUAAACUAGAAUGACACAGAUCAAUUGGUUUUUGGACUCAUGGAUUUAAUCUUAAAGGAACUAAGUAUAAGAACAAAUUCUCAUCAAAUGAGAAACAAUUUGUCCCUCAUCAAAGGAGAAUCAAAUUCUUAAUAAGCACAAGAUAUCUGAUGAUGUCUCGGAUCUUAAAACUAUUUUUAUACAACCCGAAGCUUUGUAAUGUUCGACAUGUGGUAAGAAUUCAUACGUUUAAGCUUCUUAGGUGGUCAGUGUAUAGGGAACUUAUUCAACAGACAAGCACUUGUAUACACAUAGCACGAGACCAUGCUUUCCGUUAUUGGGGCAGGAAUUAUAUUUUUUCAAUUUUAAAAAUUUGAAAUAUUAUUUAAAGGGUAAUUUUGUUGAUUACUGUGGCCCCAUGUGAUUGUUGUUGUAGAUGUCACACAUGUGCCGCCCCAGCACACUAUAACAGAACUUAAAACAAAGGGUUUGUGUUUAGUUGUAAUAUUAGUUGCAAGUAAUUCUAAGACGCUAACUACGGGCCUACAUAUAUAUACCCUUCAUAAUAAUUAAGUUAUAUAUAAAAGAAGCAUUAGUAUAAACUGUGAUUGGGGACCGGAAAGCCUAUGAAAUAUACCUGUCUUCUAAGGUGUGGAUCGAGCUUUGCAAAUCGCGCGUACGGACCGAAUGUAGACUAUUGGAUGAAAUCUGAACAGGUGAAUACCAAUCUAUCAAAAUAAGCAUACCAUGAAACCAAAAUAAGCAUAACGUGAAACUAGGUCAUAAAUGAUCCAUCACUAAUUGAAAUGGUAUCCAGUAUCAAUUCAAUUUUUUUGAAAUUUAAAUCGCGCGUACGGACCGAAUGUAGACUAUUGGAUGAAAUCUGAACAGGUGAAUACCAAUCUAUCAAAAUAAGCAUACCGUGAAACCAAAAUAAGCAUAACGUGAAACUAGGUCAUAAAUGAUCCAUCACUAAUUGAAAUGGUAUCCGGUAUCAAUUCAAUUUUUUUGAAAUUUAAAAUGUCCCUCCCCCUCCCCACCCCCCCCCCCACUCCAAAAAAAAAAAAAAAAAAAAAAAGCACUGUCUCCCUCCCCCCCCCCCCCGCGCGCGCGGGGGAACAUCAACACUUACCAUCAUAAAUUUGCCUUAUCCUCCUAAAACUCUCCAUUUUCCGCCAACCCACAAACAUCCUUCCCAUCGAAAAGUUGCUUACCAUUUGAAAAUUUCGUUGUCAUUCUAAGCCUAGUCGUAGUUGUGUUGUGCUUGUUGUCUCUGACCUCACUGCACUUUCACACAAAAGUUCAGAAAUUCAGGCAAGUUUGGUUCAAGGGUGAGUAUCGGUUCCACAGAAACUACGUGGUUUGAGUUGGGUUCAUAGUUGUUUCUUCCCCAAUUGUCGAGGUCAUACUUCAUUCCUCAAACUAAAUUUGAAAUUUGGUGAGCUUGGAAAUAUGGAACCCUUGAAAUAAAUUUGGUUAUUUAUGUUAGUUUGAUUAAUUUGAUUAAUUUGAUUAAUUAUGCAAUUCGGUUGAUGAAAUUAGUUGAAAUUGGUGGAUAUUUGGGGAAUUUUUGGGAAAUUUCAGUGGGAUGUGGGUUUAUGAAAUGUUGUUGACAGGUUGUCUAUAAGGGAUAGGUUUGCUAGCUUUGUUUUGUUGAAGUUAUAUUGUUGAGUUAGGAAUGAUUUGUGUUGAUGAAAUCUUUUAUAAUUUUAUGAAUUAAGUUGAUAUUACUUAAGUCAUGAAGGCUUGUUCACUGUAGAUAUAUUGUUAUGAAAACUUGUUGACAGGUUGUGUUAAUGUUAUACAUUGUUUAAUUUCAUUGUUAUCAGGGUACAUAUCAUUCCCGCUCACAGCGCACUCUUGUAUUUAGGCACUUUUAGGUUUAAAUUUAUUCACAUUUUCCACUACACUACACUUUAUGGCUUCGUCACCUUCCAAGUGUCGACCAGCAUAGCUCGAUUCGAAGUCUAAGUGGACAUUCUGGGUCGGGGUGUGUCAGUUAAGGUGACAGCGAAACCCUAGUGCUUAAAUAGAUUUUCAAACUAUUUUCUUUUGUUUUCUUUACUUUCCCAAUUUAUUUAAUUGGUAUUCAUUUUUAAUAUUUUAGAUCAUUAAAUCACCUUUUUCUAAACUUUGUUUUCAAAUAAUUAAUUAAGAAUUGAUUUUAACCCUAUGGAAAACGACAUUGCUUGAGUUGCUAUACUAUGAUAACAUUGUACUCUUGCAAGUAUUUUUAAGUAUUUUUAUCCCUACUUCUGCAGGUGGUAAAAUCUGUAAGAUCCCACAUUGCCCAGGGGUGAGGAUCCUGUAAGCCUUAUAUGUAUAUUCUCAUCUCUACCUAGCACGAGGCCUUUUGGGAGCUCACUAGCUUCGAGUUCCAUCGGAAAUCCAACUUUAAGCAAGUUCGCACGAAAGCAAUCCCAUGAUGGGUGACCUACUGGGAAGUUCUCGUGUAAAUUCUUAGAAACAAAACUGUGAGGGCGUGGUCGAGGCACAAAGCGGACAAUAUCGUGCUACGGCGGAAUCGAGCCUGGGAUGUGGUGGGGGCCCGAGGCGGGAUGUGACAAUUUAAUUAUUAGAUCCCACAUCGCCCAGGGGAGUGGAUCUUGUAUGUCUUAUAUGUAUAUUCCUAUCUCUACCUAGCAUGAGGCCUUUUGGGAGCUCACUGGCUUCGAGUUCUAUCGAAACUCCGAAGUUAAGCGAGUUCGCGCGAGAGCAACCACUGGGAAGUUCUCGUGUGAGUUCCUAGAAACAAAACUGUGCGGGCGUGGUCAGGGCACAAAGCGGAUAAUAUCGUGCGACGACGGAGUCGAGCCCGGGAUGUGGUGGGGGCCCGUGCCCGGAUGUGACAAUUUAAUUGUUAGAUCCCACAUCGUCCAGGGGAGUAGAUCCUGUAAGCCUUAUAUGUAUAUUCUCAUCUCUUCCUAGCAUGAGGCAUUUUGGAAGUUCACUGGCUUCAGGUUCCAUCGGAACUCUGAAGUUAAGCGAGUUCGCUCGAGAGCAAUCCCAAGAUGGGUGAUCCACUUGGAAGUUCUUGUAUGAGUUCCCAGAAAUAAAACCGUGAGGCCGUGGUCGGGGCCCAAAGAGGACAAUAUUGUGCUACACUGGAGUCGAGUCCGGGAUGUGGUGGGGGCUUGGGCCGGGAUGUGACAAAAUCCCUAUCAAGACAUUGGCCUUUGCCAGUGAUUGUUUUAAAUAAUUUGUGUUUAUCAACUCUUAGUUAAUUAUUUUUGUAUAUAUCUUUUUAUUUACUUGAUUUUAAUUUUUUUUUUAGCUUACAAUUUGUUGAUUUUGAAAGCAGUGUAACUAUUUCAUUUGCAACAAUGGGAUAUUUUGGAUUUCCACCAACAAUUUGUGCUCUUUCCAAUUUAAAUACCCAUGAUAUUCUGUAUUGUCCUCAAAGGCAGUAUUUUCCAGAAUUUGUGCAGGACCAUAUUAAUAUGAGAAUCAAUUUUCAAAGGCCUAGGUGCGAUUUCAGAGACCUUAGUUGACCAUCAGUUAGAGACACGUGGGACUUAUUCUUUUAGUAUGUCCUUGUAGUACUCAUCUUUACAAACGCAUAGGCGAAAGCAGUUUGCGAGUUCGAACUAUAACGGUAUAGUUACGGACGUUUGAAACUAGUUAAUUAUAUUUUAGAUUAUAAGUGUUAACUCCCACUUUGUGGGAAGGGGAACCAAUCAUAAAAUUUGGAGAUUUGAAGCAUCCAAUUAGGAAGAGAGAGGGAAGCUCUCAGCCUCCCUCCCAUUUUUUCUUCCCAUGUGGCCUUCGAACAACCAAAAACCCGGUUUUGACCCGGGUGGUUUCUGGCAAUUCUCACCCGUUUUUUAGGUGAUUUUCACCCAUUCACCACCAUCAAACCUUAUCACCAUAUCCCAACAUUCAAUUCUAACCAAAAUUUGCAUGAAAUGGUAGAAAUUUCACGAAGAACACCCAUGGGUGCUCGGGAAACUUACUCGAAAUCCACCCAUUUUUGAAACAUUUUCCUUCAAUUACCACUACCAAAACACUCCUCUAGAACCCAGGAACAAAGCCCAAGCAGUGGUGGAGGCGUCGAAGCAAGUUUGGAGGUUGAAUCGAAUCACACCUAAUUCUAGGGUUUUGUACGGUUUUAGCAAAAUUGAAGCCUUUCUAGGCCAAAUUGGACUUGGCCACAAUUAUAAAGUUUACUCUACUCUUUGAGAUCUUCAAUUCUGUGGGCCAAUGAUGUUUUUGUUUAAGUACUAUUAGAUGCCCUGGGUUUAUAUUUCAUAUCCGUAUGAUGUAAUUUCAUUAUUUGGACUUAGUUUCAUUUCGACAUGUGUAUAGGUCAAAAUAUGAAUCGACGAUCCAACCGUUGGAUCAUCAACAAACUUUAAUAUGUUAUAGUACGUAAUAUUUGAGGAUCAUAGGAACGUACGGAUUGGGAGUCCAACGUACGGAUCUUUCCAAAUUGGAAUUGUAAGUUUAUAAAAUAAAAAGUUAAUCGCCACUUGAAAUUGAAAUUGGCGGAGAUCCAACCGUUGGAUCGUAAUGAAAUUUUAGUAUGUUGUUCUAGAAGCAUAAUGUGGAUCCUUGGAAAUUUCGGAUUGGAAAUCUGGGAUGAUGAUCUUCCAGAUCAAAUCAUAGGGGUGUGUUCUAUAUAAAUUAUGUAUUCUAUUGAUAAGGAUCUUGAGUCAUGGUUUGAUAAUUGUUCUAGGCACCGAUUGUUCGUGACGCCUCAACCUUCGUGCUAUGGAUUUACAAGUUUUAGCGAGGACUCCAAGUGAGUGGGUUUUUGGUUUUCUAUACAAGUAUAUAUGCUUUAUGUUUUAGAAUAUGCAUCUAGUGAUUGCUUAUGUUAUUGUUGAUACUGUGAACUACGAAUGGCUUGAUCCCUGUUUAGGGUACGUAGGCAGUCUAACGAGACGUUAGAUGCAGUCAUACAAUAAAUGAGACUAAAUAAUUGAGACAAUAGCCUUGUUUGGGGAAUUGAGCAAUGUAAAGGAGAUUGGUGGAAAAUGUGAGAUUAAACCUAAUGUUUUAGUGGUUAAAUGUUAAUUAUAAAUCAAUGUGUGAAGAAUCGUAACAUUGAAGUGAAAAAUAGUUAGUAAUGAUAGUUAAUUAAGUUAGUGUUUAGUUGGGCUUAUUAACAACAACAACAACAAAGCCUUUUCCCACUAAGUGGGGUCGGCUAAUUAUUUCUGAAGAUAAUUAUUUCUGAAGGUAGUUAGUAAUGAUAGUUAAUUAUGCAUUUUAUGCCAUUUGUAUAUAUGUUAUAUGUUUGGAAAUAUCAUGAUAUGGUCAAAUUUCAUAUUUACAUCCUGGUAUAUUCACGUGUAUGUUACUUGCACAUAAUUAAGGGUGAACGCUCUGAAAUGCAAAGGUGAAUUCAAGACACCCCGGUAAGUUCAGGUGAGUUAUGGUAUUAGUUGAAAUGAUUGAGUUAUGACAUGACUACAUUUAUGUUUUAGGCAACUCCGAUAUUGUAGAACAGGUUGCCUGUGAGUUGUAUAUGUCAUAUGAGAUUGCUUUAGUUAUACGAGAUGUGUGAUGAGAUGUAUUUAGAGCUCAUAAACUUGCACCCUGGUGUUAGUGCUCCCGCCCGUGGCCAAGGCACAGUCCUUCACGUGAUGUUCACCUCCCGCACCUUACGCUCACCUUGGAUCCAAGGUAGGUGCACAGUCUUGUCGUACAGAUCACUAUAGAUGGUUCCGACUCAAAGGGGACCUGUGAUUAUUCGCACAGUCUUCAUGUGAUCCUAGCACUUAAGCGUAUUUAUUUACGCCCAGUCCUAUCGUACAGACCACUUUAGGUGGUUCCAACUAGUGUGUAGGUAUACUUAUUGAGCUAUGGAUAAGUCGUACAGGUCAUUAAAGGUGACUCCGACUUAUGAGUUAUCAUAUAUUUAUGAUGAGAUAUGUGAUGAGAUGCUAGCAUAUAUGUGAUGAUAUAUGUAAUGAGAUGCUAGCAUGUAUGAUGAGAUAUGUUACGAACUAACAUAUAUGAUGAGAUAUUAGCAUAUAUUUAUGAUGAGAUAUGUGAUGAGAUGCUAGCAUAUAUGUGAUGAUUUUGAUGAGAUAUGUGAUGAGAUGCUAGCAUAUAUGGGAUGAGAUAUUGAUUCAACCGUACAUGAUAGGUGGAUCCGGCUAACAUGCCAUUUCCUAUUGGCUUAUUUCACCUGGGUUACUCAUUCCUGUUAAGAUAUUUGACGUAGCAUAACCGUAAGACUAUUAUUUUGGUUAUGGUUUUGAUUUAUAGUCAAGCCUGUUAUUUUCUGGGAAAUUAAACAGGUAUUACGGUGAGGGGCUACUAUCUUUGGUAGUUGGAAUUGGUUUGAAGAGUUUUAUUUCACUUACUCACAUUUUCUGUUUUUGUACCCCUCCAAGUUCUAGCAGCAGAGUUCCGUAUCGACGAAGAUUCGUGGCAUUUUUCAGCAUAAAUGUCUUUUAUGAUGGUAUAAUCAUUAUCUCACCUUACUGUACUACACCUAUGCUCUGUAUCGCAUGUGAAAUGGGUCCAGAUUCGCUCACUGCGCACUCGUGUACUUAGGCACUUUUAGAUUUUAAUUUAUUCACAUUUUAUAUAUCACCACACUUUAUAGCUUCAUCACCUUCCAGGUGUCGGCCAGCACAGCUCGAUUCGGAGUCCUAGUGGACAUUCCGGGUCGGGAUGUGUCACUCAACCUUAAAGAGCAACUCCCUUCAUUUUGCAUAUCCUUUGACAUUUGGUAUUUUGUAGUAAUGUACUAAUGUUUUUCAUUAGGCUCUUAUUUUGGCGUAUGUAAUACUUAAAAGAAAAAAAAAAAAAAAAAAAUAUAUAUAUAUAUAUAUAUAGUUUAUGUUUUGAAGUAAUAUUUAUGUGGCAAUGUGGUAUGCAUAUACUAAUUUAGAAUUAUGUUUUCCAUUUUUUUAGUCAAAUUAUGUUUUUCAUUUCCAGUAUUUAUUGAUUUAAAACAUAUUUUCUUUAACAAGUAACAAGUCGGGUCAUAUUACCUAAUAAUAUUAACGGGUCGAUUUGGGGUCGGGUCAUAUUACUCGUUUACUUUAAUAGAUGUCACACAACACGACCCGUUAAGAUAUUGUAUAUAUCACAAAAAUGACACAACACGAAUGCUAGGUCUAAGUGGAACUUUAGCAACAAGGUGCUCUAGUGAUCUCUACCAAGAAAUCUCCAAAGAGUAAGAAGUAUCCAUGCUCAAUCAUUUGCCCAACACUAAGCAAAUUUUCAUUUAGACCUGGUACAAGCAUGACUUCUUUAAUGUACCUUGGUCCAAACUUAGUGGCAAUCACUAAAGUGUCUUUACCAGUGGCCUGAACCAAUUCUCAUGUUCCCAUUUUUACCUUUGCAGUGACAUUUGUAUCAACAUUAAUAAGAAGGGACUCAUGUGAGGUCAUGUGGUUGCUACAAGCACUACCUAAAUACCACACAUCAUUGUUCUUUACACUAAGACAGCAUGGCAUGCAUAAAACAUUGUUGCUUCUUCCUCCAUAUGAUUUGCAUAGUUGGUUGUCUGAAGUGUCUUGCCUCUGCAAUCCUUUGCUAAGGGACCAAAUCUGUCACAUUUGUGGCACUUUGGCUUGCCUUUGGACCAACAAGGACCAUAGUGGAGCUUAUCACAUAUCUUGCAAGGACCCUUUGUUCCUUCAUUGUGAUUUUCCUUCUUGAAAUUGUUUCCAGACUUCACAUCCCAUUUCUUCCACUUUUGUGGUUUCUAAUUCUUCUUGAACUUGGAGUUUCCACCAUGACAUGUGUUUGUUUGCUCUCUGGGAUUCACACUUAGGCUAGAUAAGUCCUUUUCUGUAAGUUUCUUAGUAUGCCUUUGCAAUCGUUGUUCAUGGGAUUUCAAAGAGCCAAUGACCUCUUGAACUCCUAUAGUCUCUGUAUCCUUUAUUUCUUCUAUCACCUCUGCAAUGGAAUCAUAUUCUCUAGACAAACUAUUCAAAAGUUUUUGUACAACUCUUUGAUUAGUGAUUUCUUCUCCGUAGGAUUUCAUUUGAUUUACUAGCUCAAGCAAUUUUGUUAUAUACCCAGACAAGGAUUCAUCAUCUUGCAUACGUGUAUAUUCAAUUCCCUUCUAAGUGCUUGCAAUUUUACAGAUCAUAUCUUCUUAUCUCCUCGAAAUUCUUGUUGCAAAAUCUCCCAAGCAUCCUUGUAGUGCGAUUCUGGGAAAAAUAUCAUCGGAAGCUGCAUUUUGAAUCAGUCCCAACACCUUAGCAUCUUUAGCGACACUCUCCUCCAGUGCGAGCUUCUGAGCUGCAGUAAGAGCACCACCUUCCUCCUUCACUGGUUUUUCGUAGCCAUGUUCAACCAUAUCCCAGAACUUGUGCAAUUUAAAAAUCGUGCACAUCUUGAUUCUCUAGAAAUCAUAGUUGCUUCCAUUGAAAAUGGGAGCACGUAGCUUACUCAUUCCAAAUCCAGGCAUAAUAAGACUAAAUCCACGAGAUAGAGGUUAUCUUCGUUGGACUUCCUCGAUUUCGUUCUGAUAAAUACCAUGUUGAAGUUCGAAUCAGAGCUUAUAUUUCUUCCUAAAUCUUGCUACCACAAAAGAAGAAACUGAGAAGAAACAAGAAUUGCAGAAUGAAGCUCUUAGGGGAAAGUUUGUUACGGCUGCAAUAGACAUGACAGUGCACUCACACAUUCAUUCCAACGGAAACAUUCUUUUUUCAUUAUAGUCAGCAAUAUGAGCAUGACACUCGUCAUCUAUCAGAGACACAAGACCCUACACUUGUCCAACCUAAUUCAAAACAAACCCUAGCUGUUAAGGAAUAAAUUCAACCAGUGAAGAAUUUACAUUUCAACAUGGACAGCAAUUUGUUGGGCAACAGGUUUGGGUUUUAUGGUCUCUCAAGUCUUUCAAGCCAAACAAAUGCAGUAACAUUCAACAUUCAAAUGUUGUCCUCUUGUUCCUCUUAACAUGAGAACCUUCACUUCGUCUCAGUUCAAAAGCAAUAACACCCAUUUCCAAUUUUUGGUGUUGUUGUUGUUGUUGUGGUUGGUUGAUCCAAAACUUCCUUGAGCAUUACAAUUGCACAAAUCUGCCCUGCUCCCGCAUGAAUAUGUAGAAAUAAAAACCAAACGUCGGGUAAAUUUCAAAAGCUCCACCGGUCUAACUGCACUUUAGCUUCAGCCAUGUCUUUCUGUGCCUUCUUUCUCCUAUAGAAUAUAGGGCAGUCCCGACUGGAAGAAUACAAACUAAGAGUUACAUACAAAGCAAGCAUGCAUCCGUGCAUUUGGAGUUUUGCAAUGUACAUAUUCCAACUCCAAAUGCAUGAAUAUGUUCCCAAAAUACCCACAGGACAAGAUAACAAUAUAUACUAACGUACAAAAAUCACUCAAACUCAGUCAACUACAAUACCUUGUGCAGAGCACAUCUUGAUGCAGAGAGCCUUGGCACUCUUGGCACUGUGUCCAUAACCGCCCAAAAAGCGUCUCUAGCUCAGACACUGCAACAUUCCACAAAGUUGAGCACUUUGGUCCAAAUAUAAAUGAAUGAAAAACAAAAAUUUAGCAUAAAAUACAUUUAUGAUAUUGAUUCAUACCAUGAGCCACUGUUUUGCAAUAGAGUUCAGCUUCUCUUCCCUUACAGUGUGAGCAAAGAGUAUGGUCCGACUUGCUAAGAAUAACAAAAUAUUAAUAAGCUUUUCAAAUUCACCCCUCUAAAACCUCAAAGAUGCUAGAAAGAGUCUUUGAUUGCUUAGAGUUAUGUUCUUCUGUAUACUAUAAAAAGUUUCAGAGAUUAUGGACCUCUCAAGUUUCAGAGUUAUGCCAAAGAUGCGUACUUCAUCCUUAAACGGUAAUCUUAACCUCUCAUCAUAACAUUUUUCGCAAAUAGGGUAGGACUAUCCAAAGUCCCCUAAAGGUUGACCCAUAAGAUUUUGACAAGAUGUUUGUGAGACUUCAUGUCCUACAAAUGGAUCAAAACCUACCACUAAAAUUGCAAACGUGAUAACCUGCUGUGUGCUUUGGUACUUACUAGUCAUCAUAGAGGUCCUUUUUGUGUCCAACGCUUAGGUGGGUAAAUUCAAACCGUAUGAUGAUAAACAACACUUUUAAGUUCAGUUCAGUUCCGUUUAUAUACUGAUCAGGCCUACCAAGAAAAGCACUCAUUUAAAGUACAAUAAAGUCAGUAUAUACUUGUACCUAAGUAGAGCUUUGCAGCCAACGCAUGUGAGUUGUUUCUUUGCAAAUCUCAUUAUUCCACUGUUUGCAGGGGUGGAGAUUGAAAUAGAUCUUGUGUGGCUUCCAUGGAGAAGUUCCUUGCUAGCAUUCUUCAAGAUGGG